AAUUAAAUCUUCUCAUCCAAGGAAGGUGUCAAAUGUGCAAAUUACCCACUCCCAGAAUGGGGAGGUAGUGACGAAAAAUAAAAGUAUGGGUCUCUUUUGAGACCCUGUAACUGAAAUGAAUACACUCUAAAUCCUUGAAUGAGGAUCAGUUGCAGGGCAAGUCUGUUGCUAACAGCUGUGGUGAUUUCAGCUCCAAUAGCAUGUAUU
This 207-nucleotide non-coding RNA is filed under the name Stegodyphus mimosarum. RNAcentral describes it as "eukaryotic small subunit ribosomal RNA". It matches the Rfam family "Eukaryotic small subunit ribosomal RNA", at positions 400 to 605 of the family's 1831-position model. The record is from Rfam by way of RNAcentral. Lineage: Eukaryota; Metazoa; Arthropoda; Arachnida; Araneae; Eresidae.